This 2928-nucleotide long non-coding RNA is filed under the name Homo sapiens (human). RNAcentral's name for it is "HSALNT0329339". The record is from RNAcentral. Lineage: Eukaryota; Metazoa; Chordata; Mammalia; Primates; Hominidae.
UUCCUUUGUGUCUGACUUCCUUCACUCCACACAAUGUUUUUGAAACUCAUUAAUGUUGUGCCUGUAUCUGAAGUUUGUUCCUUUUUAUUGCUGAGUAGUAUUCCAUUGUAUGGAUAUACCACAAUUUGUUUGCCAGUUUACCAAAUGAUGGACAUUGGGGAUGUUUUCAAUAUGGGGUUAUUAUGAAUAAAGCUGCUAGGAACAAUCUUUAACAAGUCCUUUUGUGGACAUACAUUAUUAUUUUUCUUAUCUUACAGGAGUAAAAUUAUUAUUACAGUAACUGUGUGUUUAACUAUAUAGAAAGAUGAACUGCUUUCCAAAGUGGAAAACAUUUUACAUUCUCACCAGCAAGAUAUGAUAAUUGCUUCACAUCCUCAUCAACACUGGGUAGUUUCUGUCUUCUUAUUUUUGCCAUUCUAGAAAAAACUAAGAAACUCAAGAGGAGUCAUCAGAAUUCCUGCCAUGUGGGAGUCAUCAACCCAAUGGGUGACUUCUUUUCUGCUCCACAUAUAAGAGGAUUACUUAGACCGAGCCAGGACAAUGAGAUUCAAUCCUGAAAUUUUUUUCAAACUUGGAAAGAGGAUCUCUUUUCCAUGGGAUUGAAAAUAGAGCUCCUGAGAACCUGCCUGAUGGAGAGUGCAACAUAGAGAAAAGCAGAACGAAGACACAGAGAGAAGGAGUUCCAUUUUGACUUCUAGAUCCAACCUUGCCUGCAGCUGAGCUUGUUCACUGAUGUUUUCGUCUCCUAUUCCAAGCAAGUAGCCAGGCUAAUUGCCGCCUUACUUCAGGGAAGUCUGUGGCAGAAGCUUGAAAGCAAAUGACCUACUACACCUGCUUGUGUCCUGGUCUUCAAGAGCUUGGGUUCCUGAAGUGGAUUAUGCUGGAGGAACACAGGUAGAAGCAGAAGUAACAAAGGAGAGAAGGAGACUGCCCUACUGCCCUAUACCAGGAAGGUGUGGUGGUUUCCACAAUCAUCAAGGGGCCUGUGUCCUACUUCUAGCAGAACCUGGGGAAGAAGACAAGGAUUCUGCGGAGCCUAACUGUGUGGUGAAGCUAGGGAGGCUGUACCCUUGGCAACAGGGCUUCCAUUGUGAAGAAAGAUGCCUGCAGGCCAAGAAGAGCAGAGAAACAGAGUCACUGCCAUUCAACAGUUCAUGACAACUUCAACAAUAGGGCCACCAUAAUGAGCCAAAAAUUAGGAGCAAUUCUCCUGUGUUUUAAGGAACCACAAAGUCUCUGAGAGACUGAAGAAGAGAGAACACCCAAAUGACAAAUUAAAUUUACCUCCAGCAAGGUGGGAUUAAGGCUCACAGAAAUAUCCAGCACACUCUCCUCACAUCUACUGGGGUCCAAGGCCUCAACAGCACAGUCUCCUCAACCUGCUGCUCCAGACAUUUCGCUUUUCUUCCUCUGCUUGAAUCCUACAAUCGCAAUGCUUUCCUGCCUCUGUGUUUGCUUGGAAUUUUUUGUCCUUUGGCAAUUUAAUGCUUGUAUUCAUCCAUUUAAUAAUAAGUGCCCAUCUUUUCUAUCUUCAAAUACUUGCCCUUCAUAAGGUUCUCCCUGACCCCUCUGAAAAGCCAUAAUUUCCUCCUUUACAUCUCCAAGUUUUGUACUUCUCUUGGGACAUUUACCCUGUACUACUUUUUGUUAUCAUUUCACAUCUGCUCCUCCCAACAUCUUAAACAUUUAUUGAACAUCUACUAAGCAUCCUAAAGACAGUGACUGUUUCCCAAGUACCUAGCAUAACACCAUAUGCCAUUGACCUUAGGACACUAAACUGAACAGAGCACAGAGCCUGUCCUCAAAGUUCUCAAAGUCUAUGUAUCAUGCUCAGGGAUCACAGGAUUGUAUGUAGUAACUUCUCAGCCUUUGUUGAUCUUGAUUGUCAGCACUUUAAAGCUCCAUUCAGCUACUUAUGUAAAAUUUAAGCAAAAUGAGGAAGAUAAUUUCGUUGGAGAGAAAGCUUCUGGAUGCUUCAGAAUAUGCCACCUCACCUGAAUGAUUUUUAUAUCCAACUGCCUACUGGACACCAACCACGUGGACAAGUCCUGGUUGCCUCAAACUCAACAUGUUCAAAGCUGAAUACAUCACCUGCUCUCCCAAAUAUGCUCCUCUCCUGCUGUUCCCAAAAUCAGAAAAUGGCUUCACGAUCAGCUCAGUCAUCUCAAGAGCAAAUGCUGAGAGUCACCCUUGAAUCCUUCUGUUGCCUCCACAUUCAAACCAUCACCAUAUCCUUGAUUUCUCUACUGUAUAUUUUUCAUAUGUGUCCACUUCUUUCCAUCUGCACUCUCAUUAGUGAAGGCCACCAACAUCUCUCAUCUGAAUGCCUGCAAUACCUCCUCACAGGUCACCAGGCAUCUAGUUUUGCCCCUGUCCUGCCCUUCCCUCAUCUAGAGUGAAGCCAGUAGGAACCUUCCAAAAUGAAAAUCUGAUUAAGUCACUUCUUUGCUUAAAACUUUUUUAUGGUUUCACAGCCCAUGAAAAUAGUAUCCAAUGUCUUUAAGUGCAUUGCAAAACUCUUCAAGGCCUCCCUCUCCAAUCCUUCUAGUCCUCCCUCCCCAGUUUCAUCACUCAUUAUAUACCCCAUAACCUUUAUGCCAGAGUUGUCAUGAACCUCCUCCCAUUCCUUCAGUAUUUUAUGUCUUUUUGCCUUCAGGUCUUUACACAUGUUGUUCCUUCAUAUUGAAAUAUUCUUUCCUCUCCCCAUUGCCUGGUAGAUUAACUCCUGUUUAUCCUUCAGAUGUCAGCCUUAAUGUCACUCUCUCAAGGUGAACAUCCCUGAAUUCUCUGAUGCAUUACAUAGGAUACCGUUUUUAUUCUGCCAUUGUAUGUGUCACCCUUUAUUGUUAAGAAACAUUUAAAUAAGAAAUAUUUAAUUGUUAAUAAACAGUUUUAAAUAAAAAAUAUUUAUUUGUUUCCAUAAGGAAA